Molecule: ribosomal RNA, 255 nt
Filed under: uncultured bacterium
Lineage: Bacteria
Description: partial 16S ribosomal RNA
Rfam family: Bacterial small subunit ribosomal RNA
Source: RNAcentral
CGGACGGGUGAGUAACGCGUGGAUAACCUGCCUUACACUGGGGGAUAACACUUAGAAAUAGGUGCUAAUACCGCAUAAGCGCACAGAGCCGCAUGGCUCAGUGUGAAAAACUCCGGUGGUGUAAGAUGGACCCGCGUCUGAUUAGCUUGUUGGCGGGGUAAUGGCCCACCAAGGCGACGAUCAGUAGCCGGCCUGAGAGGGUGAACGGCCACAUUGGGACUGAGACACGGCCCAAACUCCUACGGAAGGCAGCAG